UAUAGAUGGAUCCGCGCUGCAUUAGCUAGUUGGUAAGGUAACGGCUUACCAAGGCAACGAUGCAUAGCCGACCUGAGAGGGUGAUCGGCCACACUGGAACUGAGACACGGUCCAGACUCCUACGGGAGGCAGCAGUAGGGAAUCUUCCGCAAUGGGCGAAAGCCUGACGGAGCAACGCCGCGUGAGUGAUGAAGGUCUUCGGAUCGUAAAACUCUGUUAUUAGGGAAGAACAUAUGUGUAAGUAACUGUGCACAUCUUGACGGUACCUAAUCAGAAAGCCACGGCUAACUACGUGCCAGCAGCCGCGGUAAUACGUAGGUGGCAAGCGUUAUCCGGAAUUAUUGGGCGUAAAGCGCGCGUAGGCGGUUUUUUAAGUCUGAUGUGAAAGCCCACGGCUCAACCGUGGAGGGUCAUUGGAAACUGGAAAACUUGAGUGCAGAAGAGGAAAGUGGAAUUCCAUGUGUAGCGGUGAAAUGCGC
RNAcentral lists this ribosomal RNA (479 nucleotides) under Staphylococcus aureus. RNAcentral's name for it is "bacterial SSU rRNA". It matches the Rfam family "Bacterial small subunit ribosomal RNA", at positions 220 to 691 of the family's 1533-position model. The record is from RNAcentral. Lineage: Bacteria; Bacillati; Bacillota; Bacilli; Caryophanales; Staphylococcaceae.